Molecule: non-coding RNA, 100 nt
Organism: Desarmillaria ectypa
Lineage: Eukaryota; Fungi; Basidiomycota; Agaricomycetes; Agaricales; Physalacriaceae
Source: the annotation of a GenBank genome assembly
GCCCCCUUUGUCUAAUGGUUAUGACGUCAGACUUCUACUGUGAAUUGAUUUUCUAGUGGGAAUAAUCUGGAGGUUGCGAGUUCGAGUCUCGCAGGGGGUU